This is a non-coding RNA of Arachis ipaensis, 478 nucleotides long. The record is from RefSeq and is a predicted model, not a curated record. Lineage: Eukaryota; Viridiplantae; Streptophyta; Magnoliopsida; Fabales; Fabaceae.
CAUUGAGUAAUAUAUCAUGUGAUUUACAGUUUUUGUUUAUCAUUUAUGAUAGUGAGCUUUAGAAUCGAGUUUGGCAUUUACAAGUUUGCGAUAAGUACCUCAUAACAAGGACUGCAUUGGAGCCAUAGAUGGAACUCAUAGUCGUGUGAAGGUAUCAAGGGUGGAAGUCCCUCGUUUUCGGGGAAGAAAAGAUCAUCCAACACAAAAUAUUUUAGCUGCCUGUGGGUUUGAUAUGAAAUUCACGUAUGUCUUGGCUGGUUGGGAAGGAACUGCCUCUGACUCUAGAAUUUUGAAAGAUGCUUUAAGUAGGGAACAUCCACUUCGAAUACCCGAAGGAAAAUAUUAUCUAGGCGAUGCUGGAUUUAUGCUAAAGCCUGGGAUACUGACACCAUAUAGAGGUGUUCGGUAUCACUUGAAAGAGUAUUCAGUACGUGAGCUACAAAAUCCCAAAGAAUUAUUCAACCACCGACAUUCUUCA